GUACACAUCAACAUCAUCGGGAUACACCUGUACCCAUGACGAACACAGAAGUUAAGCCCUAGAACGCCGGAAGUAGUUGGGGGUUGCCCCCUGUG
This 95-nucleotide ribosomal RNA is filed under the name Staphylococcus aureus. The record is from RNAcentral. Lineage: Bacteria; Bacillati; Bacillota; Bacilli; Caryophanales; Staphylococcaceae.